Molecule: non-coding RNA, 23 nt
Filed under: Arabidopsis thaliana (thale cress)
Lineage: Eukaryota; Viridiplantae; Streptophyta; Magnoliopsida; Brassicales; Brassicaceae
Source: RNAcentral
AAGGGUUCCUAACAUCGAUGAUA